RNAcentral lists this small nuclear RNA (190 nucleotides) under Sciurus vulgaris (Eurasian red squirrel). Its description in RNAcentral is "U2 spliceosomal RNA (ENSSVLG00005006453.1)". It matches the Rfam family "U2 spliceosomal RNA". From Rfam's summary of the family: U2 is a small nuclear RNA (snRNA) component of the spliceosome (involved in pre-mRNA splicing). Complementary binding between U2 snRNA (in an area lying towards the 5' end but 3' to hairpin I) and the branchpoint sequence (BPS) of the intron results the bulging out of an unpaired adenosine, on the BPS, which initiates a nucleophilic attack at the intronic 5' splice site, thus starting the first of two transesterification reactions that mediate splicing. The record is from Rfam by way of RNAcentral. Lineage: Eukaryota; Metazoa; Chordata; Mammalia; Rodentia; Sciuridae.
AAUACUUUCCAGCCUUUUGGCUAAAAUUAAAUAUAGUAUCUAUUCUUAUUAAUUUAAUAUCUGAUAAGUCCUCUCCCCAAGGGCAAUAUUUUAAAUGGAUAUUUGGAGCAGGAAGAUGGAAUAGGAACUUACUCCAUUCACUCUACACGUUGACCUAAAAUGAGGGACCUCCAGGAGCUAUGCCCCCCCC